CCUACGGGUGGCAGCAGUGGGGAAUAUUGCGCAAUGGGCGAAAGCCUGACGCAGCGACGCCGCGUGAGGGAUGAAGGUCUUCGGAUCGUAAACCUCUGUCAGCAGGGAAGAACGGUCACUGUGCUAAUCAGCAGUGAAUUGACGGUACCUGCAAAGGUAGCACCGGCUAACUCCGUGCCAGCAGCCGCGGUAAUACGGAGGGUGCGAGCGUUAAUCGGAAUUACUGGGCGUAAGGCGCUCGUAGGCGGUAUGUCAAGUCAAGGGUGAAAUCCCCGCGCUCAACGUGGGAACUGCCUUUGAAACUGGCAAACUGGAGUGUGUGAGAGGAUAGUGGAAUUCCAGGUGUAGGAGUGAAAGCCGUAGAUAUGUGGAGGAACAUCAGUGGCGAAGGCGACUAUCUGGCACACAACUGACGCUGAGGAGCGAAAGCGUGGGUAGCAAACAGGAUUAGAUACCCGAGUAGUC
This 465-nucleotide ribosomal RNA is filed under the name uncultured bacterium. RNAcentral's name for it is "partial 16S ribosomal RNA". It matches the Rfam family "Bacterial small subunit ribosomal RNA", at positions 338 to 795 of the family's 1533-position model. The record is from RNAcentral.